UGUAUAUAAGUAUGAUAUACCACAGGGAAA
Molecule: non-coding RNA, 30 nt
Filed under: Rattus norvegicus (Norway rat)
Lineage: Eukaryota; Metazoa; Chordata; Mammalia; Rodentia; Muridae
Source: RNAcentral